CCUACGGGUGGCUGCAGUCGAGAAUCAUUCACAAUGGGGGAAACCCUGAUGGUGCGACGCCGCGUGGGGGAAUGAAGGUCUUCGGAUUUUAAACCCCUGUCAUGUGGGGGCAAAUUAAAAAGAUAGUACCACAAGAGGAAUAGACGGCUAACUCUGUGCCAGCAGCCGCGGUAAUACAGAGGUCUCAAGCGUUGUUCGGAAUCACUGGGCGUAAAGGGGGCGUAGGCUGUUUCGUAAGUCGUGUGUGAAAGGCGCGGGCUCAACCCGCGGACGGCACAUGAUACUGCGAGACUAGAGUAAUGGAGGGGGAACCGGAAUUCUCGGGGUAGCAGUGAAAGGCGUAGAUAUCGAGAGGAACACUCGUGGCGAAGGCGGGUUCCUGGACAUUAACUGACGCUGAGGCACGAAGGCCAGGGGAGCGAAAGGGAUUAGAUACCCGUGUAGUC
This 446-nucleotide ribosomal RNA is filed under the name uncultured bacterium. RNAcentral describes it as "partial 16S ribosomal RNA". It matches the Rfam family "Bacterial small subunit ribosomal RNA", at positions 338 to 795 of the family's 1533-position model. The record is from RNAcentral.